GACGAACGCUGGCGGCGUGCUUAACACAUGCAAGUCGAACGGAAAGGCCCUGCUUGCAGGGUACUCGAGUGGCGAACGGGUGAGUAACACGUGGGUGAUCUGCCCUGCACUUCGGGAUAAGCCUGGGAAACUGGGUCUAAUACCGGAUAGGAGCCAUUUUUAGUGUGAUGGUUGGAAAGUUUUUUCGGUGUAGGAUGAGCUCGCGGCCUAUCAGCUUGUUGGUGGGGUAAUGGCCUACCAAGGCGGCGACGGGUAGCCGGCCUGAGAGAGUGGACGGCCACAUUGGGACUGAGAUACGGCCCAGACUCCUACGGGAGGCAGCAGUGGGGAAGAUUGCACAAUGGGCGCAAGCCGGAUGCAGCGACGCCGCGUGGGGGAUGACGGCCUUCGGGUUGUAAACUCCUUUCGCUAGGGACGAAGCUUUUUGUGACGGUACCUAGAUAAGAAGCACCGGCUAACUACGUG
This 465-nucleotide ribosomal RNA is filed under the name uncultured bacterium. RNAcentral describes it as "partial 16S ribosomal RNA". It matches the Rfam family "Bacterial small subunit ribosomal RNA", at positions 28 to 507 of the family's 1533-position model. The record is from RNAcentral.